Molecule: ribosomal RNA, 253 nt
Filed under: uncultured bacterium
Lineage: Bacteria
Description: partial 16S ribosomal RNA
Rfam family: Bacterial small subunit ribosomal RNA
Source: RNAcentral
UACGAAGGGGGCUAGCGUUGCUCGGAAUGACUGGGCGUAAAGGGCUCGUAGGCGGUCUGUUGCGUCGGGAGUGAAAACUCAGGGCUUAACCCUGAGCCUGCUUCCGAUACGGGCAGACUAGAGGUAUGCAGGGGAGAACGGAAUUCCUGGUGUAGCGGUGAAAUGCGCAGAUAUCAGGAGGAACACCGGUGGCGAAGGCGGUUCUCUGGGCAUUACCUGACGCUGAGGAGCGAAAGUGUGGGGAGCGAACAGG